GACGAACGCUGGCGGCGUGCUUAACACAUGCGAGUCGAACGGAAAGGCCCUGCUUUUGUGGGGUGCUCGAGUGGCGAACGGGUGAGUAACACGUGAGUAACCUGCCCUUGACUUUGGGAUAACUUCAGGAAACUGGGGCUAAUACCGGAUAGGAGCUCCUGCUGCAUGGUGGGGGUUGGAAAGUUUCGGCGGUUGGGGAUGGACUCGCGGCUUAUCAGCUUGUUGGUGGGGUAGUGGCUUACCAAGGCUUUGACGGGUAGCCGGCCUGAGAGGGUGACCGGCCACAUUGGGACUGAGAUACGGCCCAGACUCCAACGGGAGGCAGCAGUGGGGAAUAUUGCACAAUGGGCGGAAGCCUGAUGCAGCAACGCCGCGUGCGGGAUGACGGCCUUCGGGUUGUAAACCGCUUUCGCCUGUGACGAAGCGUGAGUGACGGUAAUGGGUAAAGAAGCGCCGGCUAACUACGUG
Molecule: ribosomal RNA, 468 nt
Filed under: uncultured bacterium
Lineage: Bacteria
Description: partial 16S ribosomal RNA
Rfam family: Bacterial small subunit ribosomal RNA
Source: RNAcentral